Molecule: ribosomal RNA, 926 nt
Filed under: uncultured Macellibacteroides sp.
Lineage: Bacteria; Pseudomonadati; Bacteroidota; Bacteroidia; Bacteroidales; Porphyromonadaceae
Description: bacterial SSU rRNA
Rfam family: Bacterial small subunit ribosomal RNA
Source: RNAcentral
AAGGGUGCGCAGGCGGAUUGGUAAGUCAGCGGUGAAAGUUUGCAGCUUAACUGUAAAAAUGCCGUUGAAACUGUCGGACUUGAGUGUAAAUGAGGUAGGCGGAUGCGUGGUGUAGCGGUGAAAUGCAUAGAUAUCACGCAGAACUCCGAUUGCGAAGGCAGCUUACUAAGCUACAACUGACACUGAAGCACGAAAGCGUGGGGAUCAAACAGGAUUAGAUACCCUGGUAGUCCACGCAGUAAACGAUGAUUACUAGCUGUUUGCGAUACACAGUAAGCGGCACAGCGAAAGCGUUAAGUAAUCCACCUGGGGAGUACGCCGGCAACGGUGAAACUCAAAGGAAUUGACGGGGGCCCGCACAAGCGGAGGAACAUGUGGUUUAAUUCGAUGAUACGCGAGGAACCUUACCCGGGUUUGAACGUAGGGAGACAGGGGUGGAAACAUCCUUUUCAGCAAUGACUGCCUACGAGGUGCUGCAUGGUUGUCGUCAGCUCGUGCCGUGAGGUGUCGGCUUAAGUGCCAUAACGAGCGCAACCCUUAUUUCCAGUUACUAACAGGUGAAGCUGAGGACUCUGGAGAGACUGCCAGCGUAAGCUGUGAGGAAGGUGGGGAUGACGUCAAAUCAGCACGGCCCUUACAUCCGGGGCGACACACGUGUUACAAUGGUAAGGACAAAGGGCAGCUACCGGGCGACCGGAUGCGAAUCUCUAAACCUUAUCUCAGUUCGGAUCGGAGUCUGCAACUCGACUCCGUGAAGCUGGAUUCGCUAGUAAUCGCGCAUCAGCCAUGGCGCGGUGAAUACGUUCCCGGGCCUUGUACACACCGCCCGUCAAGCCAUGGGAGCCGGGGGUACCUGAAGUUCGUAACCGCAAGGAUCGACCUAGGGUAAAACUGGUGACUGGGGCUAAGUCGUAACAAGGUAGCCG